This 204-nucleotide ribosomal RNA is filed under the name Epichloe festucae var. lolii. RNAcentral's name for it is "partial large subunit ribosomal RNA". Lineage: Eukaryota; Fungi; Ascomycota; Sordariomycetes; Hypocreales; Clavicipitaceae. The record is from RNAcentral.
CUCUUCCUAUCAUACCGAAGCAGAAUUCGGUAAGCGUUGGAUUGUUCACCCACUAGAGUUCAGUUGGUGGGGAUAGUCAGGUCUUGGAUGGGUUCUGAGAUUAUGCUGGCUAGUCGACAUAGCACAGAACUGCAGGCGCUAUGCGGCGACACAACCUGGAUCGGGGGAGGCUAAGGCCCGGCGGCUAUGCUAAUCCGAGGGGAG